RNAcentral lists this small nucleolar RNA (104 nucleotides) under Manacus vitellinus (golden-collared manakin). Its description in RNAcentral is "Small nucleolar RNA SNORD46". It matches the Rfam family "Small nucleolar RNA SNORD46". Rfam says of the family: U40 is a C/D box small nucleolar RNA, also known as snoZ153 in plants. The human sequence has also been annotated in the sequence databases as U46. U40 is encoded in intron 2 of the ribosomal protein S8 gene in human, and is hypothesised to guide methylation of 2'-O-ribose residues on 28S ribosomal RNA. Lineage: Eukaryota; Metazoa; Chordata; Aves; Passeriformes; Pipridae. The record is from Rfam by way of RNAcentral.
AAUUGGAGUGAUGAAACUUUCACCUUAGGCAGAUGCAUCAGACCGUUCUGGUUGUUUUCUGUGUCUGCCGGUGCUGGGGCUUGUCAUAGUUACACUGACCACAU